GGAAUCUUCCGCAAUGGACGAAAGUCUGACGGAGCAACGCCGCGUGAGUGAUGAAGGUUUUCGGAUCGUAAAACUCUGUUAUUAGGGAAGAACAAAUGUUUAAGUAACUGUGCACAUCUUGACGGUACCUAAUCAGACAGCCACCGCUAACUACGUGCCAGCAGCCGCGGUAAUACGUAGGUGGCAAGCGUUAUCCGGAAUUAUUGGGCGUAAAGCGCGCGUAGGCGGUUUCUUAAGUCUGAUGUGAAAGCCCACGGCUCAACCGUGGAGGGUCAUUGGAAACUGGGAAACUUGAGUACAGAAGAGGAAAGUGGAAUUCCAUGUGUAGCGGUGAAAUGCGCAGAGAUAUGGAGGAACACCAGUGGCGAAGGCGACUUUCUGGUCUGUAACUGACGCUGAUGUGCGAAAGCGUGGGGAUCAAACA
RNAcentral lists this ribosomal RNA (424 nucleotides) under uncultured bacterium. Its description in RNAcentral is "bacterial SSU rRNA". It matches the Rfam family "Bacterial small subunit ribosomal RNA", at positions 358 to 774 of the family's 1533-position model. The record is from RNAcentral.